Molecule: small RNA, 141 nt
Filed under: Marmota monax (woodchuck)
Lineage: Eukaryota; Metazoa; Chordata; Mammalia; Rodentia; Sciuridae
Source: RNAcentral
GCCAGGUGUGGUGGUGCACGCCUGUAAUCCCAGGUACUUGGCAGGCUGAGGUAGGAGGAUCUAAAGUUCUGGACAAAUUAACAAUAAAUAAAUGGAUAGAUAGAUUGGUGAUAUAGUUCAGCGGUAGAGUGCUUGCCUCGU